Molecule: unclassified non-coding RNA, 358 nt
Organism: Erinaceus europaeus (western European hedgehog)
Lineage: Eukaryota; Metazoa; Chordata; Mammalia; Eulipotyphla; Erinaceidae
Gene: 7SK
Rfam family: 7SK RNA
About the family: 7SK was discovered as an abundant small nuclear RNA in the mid-70s but a possible function has only recently been suggested.
Source: Ensembl
GGAUGUGAGGGCGAUCUGGCUGCGACAUCUGUCACCCCAUUGAUCGCCAGGGUUGAUUCAGCUGAUCUGGCUGCCUAGGCGGGUGUCCCCUUCCUUCCUCACUGCUCCAUGUGCAUCGUUCCCGAAGCUGCGUUCUCAGUCGAAGAGGAUGGCCUUUCCUGAACAGAGACGGACUGGUCUUCAGUCGAGGGUAUACGAGUAGCUGCGCUCCCCUGCUAGAACCUCCAAACAAGCUCUCAAGGUAAGUACCAGUUAUACCUCUGAGGCCAGCAAUCAUCUAGGAUGUCCCAGGAAGAUCCAACAAAUGUACUUGAGGAAACUGGCUGAGCAGCUCCAAGAAAGAAUUGUGAUGAAUACA